This 206-nucleotide ribosomal RNA is filed under the name Enterobacter cloacae. Its description in RNAcentral is "partial 23S ribosomal RNA". It matches the Rfam family "Bacterial large subunit ribosomal RNA", at positions 2110 to 2315 of the family's 2925-position model. The record is from RNAcentral. Lineage: Bacteria; Pseudomonadati; Pseudomonadota; Gammaproteobacteria; Enterobacterales; Enterobacteriaceae.
CUUGACACUGAACACUGGUCCUUGAUGUGUAGGAUAGGUGGGAGGCUUUGAAGCGUGGACGCCAGUCUGCGUGGAGCCGUCCUUGAAAUACCACCCUUUAAUGGCUGGUGUUCUAACGUAGACCCGUAAUCCGGGUUGCGGACAGUGUCUGGUGGGUAGUUUGACUGGGGCGGUCUCCUCCCAAAGAGUAACGGAGGAGCACGAAG